CGCCAGACUCCUACGGGAGGCAGCAGUGGGGAAUAUUGCACAAUGGGGGAAACCCUGAUGCAGCGACGCCGCGUGAGCGAUGAAGUAUUUCGGUAUGUAAAGCUCUAUCAGCAGGGAAGAAGAUGACGGUACCUGACUAAGAAGCCCCGGCUAACUACGUGCCAGCAGCCGCGGUAAUACGUAGGGGGCAAGCGUUAUCCGGAUUUACUGGGUGUAAAGGGAGCGUAGACGGUCCUGCAAGCCAGAUGUGAAAGCCCGGGGCUCAACCCCGGGACUGCAUUUGGAACUGUAAGGCUAGAGUGUCGGAGAGGCAGGCGGAAUUCCUAGUGUAGCGGUGAAAUGCGUAGAUAUUAGGAGGAACACCAGUGGCGAAGGCGGCUUACUGGACUGUAACUGACGUUGAGGCUCGAAAGCGUGGGGAGCAAACAGGAUUAGAUACCCCAGUAC
This 447-nucleotide ribosomal RNA is filed under the name uncultured bacterium. Its description in RNAcentral is "bacterial SSU rRNA". It matches the Rfam family "Bacterial small subunit ribosomal RNA", at positions 329 to 793 of the family's 1533-position model. The record is from RNAcentral.